AGAAAAUAGAGAUUGGGGGGGGGCAGUGGGCAGACCUUCCAAUUAACAUUUGAGUCACUCCAUAUCAUUAGCAGCUCUGUGUGGCGCAUUAGGACCACACAUCGUGCCGGAGACGCACCAGGGCUGGUGGGGCUAAUCUCAACUGACGCAACACCCCUGGGCCUGGCUGAGACCGACGUCAACCUCCAACCUCCUCACUCAACACUAGCCUGUGAAUGAGUCCCAAAUGGCACCCUAUUCUAUUCCCAAAAGGGUGCUAUUUCAGACGGGCCCUGGUCAAAAGUAGUGCACUAUACAGGGAAUAGGGUGCCAUUUCAGGAGCACACUAUCAUCAACACUGGGCUCGGGGUUUGUUUAGAUCUGAAAUGCCGCUUGUAAUGCUAUGUUUUUUGUUUGUCAUGCCCACUUCACACUUUUUUUGAACACUUGUCAAUUCCAUGUCACAACUUUGCAGAUAUUGGAUGUUGGACAAAUGUAUAAUAUUGUUUUGUUCGUGUGACUGUGUCGAACCUCUGUGACCUUCUUCACUUCUUCCCUACAGCUAGUGACCCCCAUGACAUGCACCCACACACACGUCCUCAUCAACCAAUCGCAUCCCUGUAUUGGUACGAGGAAGAGCCAAGGAUGAGGAAACCUAUAUAUUGGUGGCGCCACUGUUACGUGACACUUCGACAGGGCUGUUUUGUGUGUGGACCAACAACCAACUUCCUUCUCUGACAUCCAGCCGCUGUUUUGUUUUCCAAUAGGAUAAUUAUUGUUGAACAUCCAGUCUAAGAUUAAUCACUGCUGAAUACAGCAUUGAAGGAUAGUCAGUAUACAGUUUAACCAAUAGGAAAGGUACAGACAGGGGAGAUGCUGUGUUCCCAGCUGCAGGUGUUACUGGUGGCUCUGUCUGCCUCAGUGUUGCUGGCGAGGGUCAGCGCCGCUCCACACAGAGACAUGCUAGCUGAACUACUGAGAGCAGAUACAACCAAGGGCAACGAGCCAUUAUUAUGAGCAGUCCUCCCCUCAGCAGACUCCACUGGAUCCAUUCUACACUUGUAAGAUAUCCAGACACAUCUCAGGAGGUAGUCAGGAAGAUCGGAUCACAAUGCGUCUUUUAAACGUCUACACCCGUCUUAAAAUGUGGACAAGAUCAAGACAAAGGAUGCACGCUCGAACCAUGUAUAAAACGGUGCUAAUGUUUUUAUUCAUUCUCUAAUGAUAUUCUGUAAUAUUCAACUCAAUGGUCAUACAAUUUCAAGAGAACUAGUCAUUAAAUGACCAUAACUUCUACUUGCUGUAUAUGUUAAAUUAUUUGUUGAUUUAAUUAGGCUUCUGAUAAUGUUUUGGUCCUAGAAUAACUGACAGAAGUGUUCUAUGACAACCGUAGUGUUAUAGCAACAAAGAAGUUCUAAGAUCCAUGGUGUCAGUUAUUCCCUUUCUUGGAUGGACAAUGAAGUUGUAUUUAAUGCUAUUAAAUUAUUUUCCUAAUAG
RNAcentral lists this long non-coding RNA (1476 nucleotides) under Salmo salar (Atlantic salmon). Its description in RNAcentral is "lncRNA (ENSSSAG00000103482.1)". The record is from RNAcentral. Lineage: Eukaryota; Metazoa; Chordata; Actinopteri; Salmoniformes; Salmonidae.